GCAGCGGGGAGGAAGCUUGCUUUCUCCGCCGGCGACCGGCGCACGUUUGAGUAACACGUAUGCAACCUGCCCCUGUCAGGGGGACAACCCGCCGAAAGGCGGGCUAAACCCGCGUACAUGCCACCGGGGCAUCCCGGAGGCAGGAAAGGCUUCGGCCGGACAGGGAUGGGCAUGCGGCGCAUUAGGCAGUAGGCGGGGUAACGGCCCACCUAACCGACGAUGCGUAGGGGUUCUGAGAGGAAGGUCCCCCACACUGGUACUGAGACACGGACCAGACUCCUACGGGAGGCAGCAGUGAGGAAUAUUGGUCAAUGGUCGGGAGACUGAACCAGCCAAGCCGCGUGAGGGAGGAAGGUACAGAGUAUCGUAAACCUCUUUUGUCAGGGAACAAAGGCGGGGACGUGUCCCCGGAUGAGUGUACCUGAAGAAAAAGCAUCGGCUAACUCCGUGCCAGCAGCCGCGGUAAUACGGAGGAUGCGAGCGUUAUCCGGAUUUAUUGGGUUUAAAGGGUGCGCAGGCGGUCUGUUAAGUCAGCGGUCAAAGCCCGGGGCUCAACCCCGGCCCGCCGUUGAAACUGGCAGUCUCGAGUUGGAGAGAAGUAUGCGGAAUGCGCGGUGUAGCGGUGAAAUGCAUAGAUAUCGCGCAGAACUCCGAUUGCGAAGGCAGCAUGCCGGCUCCACACUGACGCUGAGGCACGAAAGCGUGGGUAUCGAACAGGAUUAGAUACCCUGGUAGUCCACGCAGUAAACGAUGAAUGCUGGCUGUCCGGGGGGAUUGACCC
RNAcentral lists this ribosomal RNA (781 nucleotides) under uncultured bacterium. RNAcentral's name for it is "bacterial SSU rRNA". It matches the Rfam family "Bacterial small subunit ribosomal RNA", at positions 61 to 838 of the family's 1533-position model. The record is from RNAcentral.